CACCUCUGUCUGUCUUCUGUCUCGGAAUCUACUUGUUACGGGAGACAGAAUUGGGAAGUGGACAGACUUCGUUUUCUCCGCUACCGCCCUUUCCCUUCAAGCUGGAGCUGGAGCACACACAGCUUCUCCUUUCUGCACCUUUUUACGUCCCUAGUGGUGUAGAGCAGAUUCCGGCUCAGGCUGGGCAAAACAACGCAUCCUAGAGCUCCUUCCAACCCUAAGAUUCUCAGAUUCAAUGGGAAAAUGAGGACAAGGAUCUGCAUUUACAGAGCGUUGGCUUUCUACACGUGAUCUUAUUUGAUCCUCUGGACACCCCAUAUGAGGGUGACGCGAUAUCAGAAAUAUUAGUGUCAUCAUCUCACAGAUGAAGAAAUUGUGACUCGAAAAGCUCCACCUCUCAAUGUGGGGAGGAAAAGAGAGCCCCUUUUCAAGAGAAGCUCACGUUUUGCUUGUGGGCAGUCUGGCCCUUCACUGCCUACACCCUCUCUAAGUCUUGGAAAUAAUCAAAAGAAGAGGAAACUGGAGCCCAGAGAAGAAAAUUGACUUGCCCAAGGUCACAUAGCAAGCUGUCGAAUGGGGAAAAAUCAAGAUUGAGUCCACUCCACUCCAGAUGGUAUCUCUGUAUCAGCAUCUCUGACCAUAGCACAGAUGACAUCAGUGCCGCUUAAUGAGAGGUAGCCGGGAUUAUAUUGGAGAGCAUCCCACGGAGCACAUUUGGAGCUGAAACUGCAAUUGUCAUCCAGUGGAGGUCUGCAAAGCUCUCAUGGCAAUUUAUGGGGAUACCUAUGGCUCAGUGCUGAAGUAAGUAGUGGUUUGGAAUGAUGUAGCACAUUCUGGGUGGUCCUUUGGGAGCAUUACAUCAGUUUAAAAAGAAAGACAGAUUUCCCUCCUCCUUACUCACCCCUCUCAUCUGUCCAGUAAGUUAGGGUGCUUUUAGCCUCUUCUUGGAGAAGUGGGCAGCAGAAAUGGCCACUACUGCAAAGAGCAAGGCCUUGGCAAGGCAAGUAUCUGGCAGCCUCUUCUGUGUUGUGUUUCUUUCCCUAAUCACAGGUGAUAGAACAGAGAUCCUGAGAUGGGAAUUUCAAGAGUAGCUACCUUGGGAGUAAUUGUGUUUUUCAAUGAGGCUGGUUAUACUUCAGUUGGAGCCCCCACCAAUUCCUACAUUGCUUUAUGCAGAAGAUGAUCGCUGCAAGGAAUUGGAAAUUGAGAGGAUGCCCGUCAAUUGGGGAAUGGCUG
This is a long non-coding RNA of Vombatus ursinus (common wombat), 1236 nucleotides long. RefSeq lists it as uncharacterized. The transcript has 4 exons. The record is from RefSeq and is a predicted model, not a curated record. NCBI's taxonomy places the organism in Eukaryota, Metazoa, Chordata, Mammalia, Diprotodontia, Vombatidae.